CAACAACGGAUCUCUUGGUUCUGGCAUCGAUGAAGAACGCAGCGAAAUGCGAUAAGUAAUGUGAAUUGCAGAAUUCAGUGAAUCAUCGAAUCUUUGAACGCACAUUGCGCCCGCCAGUAUUCUGGCGGGCAUGCCUGUUCGAGCGUCAUUU
Molecule: ribosomal RNA, 151 nt
Filed under: Gliocephalotrichum bulbilium
Lineage: Eukaryota; Fungi; Ascomycota; Sordariomycetes; Hypocreales; Nectriaceae
Also listed under: 1 other name
Description: 5.8S ribosomal RNA
Rfam family: 5.8S ribosomal RNA
About the family: 5.8S ribosomal RNA (5.8S rRNA) is a component of the large subunit of the eukaryotic ribosome. It is transcribed by RNA polymerase I as part of the 45S precursor that also contains 18S and 28S rRNA. Functionally, it is thought that 5.8S rRNA may be involved in ribosome translocation.
Source: RNAcentral